This 490-nucleotide ribosomal RNA is filed under the name uncultured bacterium. RNAcentral's name for it is "partial 16S ribosomal RNA". It matches the Rfam family "Bacterial small subunit ribosomal RNA", at positions 29 to 507 of the family's 1533-position model. The record is from RNAcentral.
AAUGAACGCUGGCGGCAUGCCUUACACAUGCAAGUCGAACGGCAGCAUGACCUAGCUUGCUAGGUUGAUGGCGAGUGGCGAACGGGUGAGUAAUGCAUCGGAACGUGCCUUUUAGUGGGGGAUAACGUAGCGAAAGUUACGCUAAUACCGCAUAUUCUCUGAGGAGGAAAGCAGGGGACCUUCGGGCCUUGCGCUAGAAGAGCGGCCGAUGUCGGAUUAGCUAGUUGGUGAGGUAAAGGCUCACCAAGGCAACGAUCCGUAGCGGGUCUGAGAGGAUGAUCCGCCACACUGGGACUGGGACACGGCCCAGACUCCUACGGGAGGCAGCAGUGGGGAAUUUUGGACAAUGGGCGCAAGCCUGAUCCAGCCAUGCCGCGUGAGUGAAGAAGGCCUUCGGGUUGUAAAGCUCUUUCGGCUGGGAAGAAAUCGCACCCUCUAAUACAGGGUGUGGAUGACGGUACCAGCAUAAGAAGCACCGGCUAACUACGUG